This 446-nucleotide ribosomal RNA is filed under the name uncultured bacterium. RNAcentral's name for it is "bacterial SSU rRNA". It matches the Rfam family "Bacterial small subunit ribosomal RNA", at positions 329 to 792 of the family's 1533-position model. The record is from RNAcentral.
CGCCAGACUCCUACGGGAGGCAGCAGUGGGGAAUAUUGCACAAUGGGGGAAACCCUGAUGCAGCGACGCCGCGUGAGUGAAGAAGUAUUUCGGUAUGUAAAGCUCUAUCAGCAGGGAAGAAAAUGACGGUACCUGAUUAAGAAGCCCCGGCUAACUACGUGCCAGCAGCCGCGGUAAUACGUAGGGGGCAAGCGUUAUCCGGAUUUACUGGGUGUAAAGGGAGCGUAGACGGCAGCGCAAGUCUGAAGUGAAAUGCCGGGGCUUAACCCCGGAACUGCUUUGGAAACUGUGCAGCUAGAGUGCAGGAGAGGUAAGUGGAAUUCCUAGUGUAGCGGUGAAAUGCUUAGAUAUCACGAAGAACUCCGAUUGCGAAGGCAGCUUACUAAACUGCCACUGACAUUGAUGCUCGAAAGUGUGGGUAUCAAACAGGAUUAGAUACCCCUGUA